AAGGAUUUAAGUUAAAAACGAAACUAGCAACCUUCAAAGUUGUAAAUAGAGGGCUCUCUAAGCCUUG
This 67-nucleotide transfer RNA is filed under the name Helota thoracica. Its description in RNAcentral is "tRNA-Trp". The record is from RNAcentral. Lineage: Eukaryota; Metazoa; Arthropoda; Insecta; Coleoptera; Helotidae.